This 493-nucleotide ribosomal RNA is filed under the name uncultured bacterium. Its description in RNAcentral is "bacterial SSU rRNA". It matches the Rfam family "Bacterial small subunit ribosomal RNA", at positions 27 to 510 of the family's 1533-position model. The record is from RNAcentral.
GAAAGAACGCUGGCGGGAUGCUUUACACAUGCAGUCGAACGGCAGCACGAGAGAGCUUGCUCUCUUGGUGGCGAGUGGCGGACGGGUGAGUAAUAUAUCGGAACGUGCCCGGUAGCGGGGGAUAACUACUCGAAAGAGUGGCUAAUACCGCAUACGCCCUACGGGGGAAAGGGGGGGAUCGCAAGACCUCUCACUAUUGGAGCGGCCGAUAUCGGAUUAGCUAGUUGGUGGGGUAAAGGCUCACCAAGGCAACGAUCCGUAGCUGGUUUGAGAGGACGACCAGCCACACUGGGACUGAGACACGGCCCACACUCCUACGGGAGGCAGCAGUGGGGAAUUUUGGACAAUGGGGGAAACCCUGAUCCAGCCAUCCCGCGUGUAUGAUGAAGGCCUUCGGGUUGUAAAGUACUUUUGGCAGAGAAGAAAAGGCAUCCCCUAAUACGGGAUGCUGCUGACGGUAUCUGCAGAAUAGGCACCGGCUAACUACGUGCCC